This is a non-coding RNA of Lolium perenne, 390 nucleotides long. The record is from RefSeq and is a predicted model, not a curated record. Lineage: Eukaryota; Viridiplantae; Streptophyta; Magnoliopsida; Poales; Poaceae.
GUUGUCAUUGCCGGAGGAGAAUACACAGGCGAGGGCAAGGCCUUCAUAUAGAAGCGCGACGAUUAUCCUGAAAUUUGACAGGCUGAUAGGCUCACCGGCCUCGUCAGCGUCGCCGUCGAGCAGGAAGGCGCCGCAGAUGGGGUGGCCGCGAAGCUCCCCUGGCGGGGGGAUCACCCGGCAGCGCCGCGUAAUGGGCUCGCAGACGACGAGGUCCUUGAAGACAGCCACAUUGUUGCCGGGACACUGGUUGACGAGGAGGAGGCCGCCUCGACUAUCGGCGAUGUCCCAGGAGCCACCGUCGCGGGACGGGAGGAAGUCAAGCGAGAAGUGCUGGGGGCGUAGGUCGACGGUGUCUGACGACGGUGAGAGGAAGAAGACGGGGUUGCAGCC